This 301-nucleotide ribosomal RNA is filed under the name uncultured bacterium. Its description in RNAcentral is "partial 16S ribosomal RNA". It matches the Rfam family "Bacterial small subunit ribosomal RNA", at positions 509 to 807 of the family's 1533-position model. The record is from RNAcentral.
CAGUAGCCGCGGUAAUACGUAGGUGGCAAGCGUUGUCCGGAAUUAUUGGGCGUAAAGGGCUCGCAGGCGGUUUCUUAAGUCUGAUGUGAAAGCCCCCGGCUCAACCGGGGAGGGUCAUUGGAAACUGGGAAACUUGAGUGCAGAAGAGGAGAGUGGAAUUCCACGUGUAGCGGUGAAAUGCGUGGAGAUGUGGAGGAACACCAGUGGCGAAGGCGACUCUCUGGUCUGUAACUGACGCUGAGGAGCGAAAGCGUGGGGAGCGAACAGGAUUAGAUACCCCUGUAGUCCCUGUCUCUUAUAC